This 329-nucleotide ribosomal RNA is filed under the name uncultured eukaryote. Its description in RNAcentral is "partial 18S ribosomal RNA". It matches the Rfam family "Eukaryotic small subunit ribosomal RNA", at positions 1470 to 1796 of the family's 1831-position model. The record is from RNAcentral.
CCCUUAGAUGUUCUGGGCCGCACGCGCACUACACUGAUGCAUUCAACGAGUCUAAAACCUGCUCUGAUAGGGGUGGGUAAUCUUUUGAAUGUGCAUCGUGAUUGGGAUAGAUGAUUGCAAUUUUUCAUCUUCAACGAGGAAUGCCUAGUAAACGCAAGUCAUCAGCUUGCAUUGAUUACGUCCCUGCCCUUUGUACACACCGCCCGUCGCUCCUACCGAUUGAAUGAUCCGAUGAAUAUCAUGGAUUGAGGAUGCAAGUAGGUUAGCCUAUCUUCAUCUUCGAGAAGUGAAGUAAAUCUUAUCAUUUAGAGGAAGGAGAAGUCGUAACA